CGUUCUUCUGGAUUCUUUCCGAUUCACUCGGUAAACUAGGUUUCAAAUCGACUGUGAGUUGGACCGGAAUGAUUUGGUUUUUGUUGUCCCUGGUGCCAAGAAUCGCUCGAGAAUCCCCCAAGUUCGAAAUGAUCAAGUGUUGGUCCUGAAAUAACAUUCAUUAUAAUCAUACACGCGCACACACACACACACAUAUAUAUAUAUUUAUGGUUGAUGGUAAACAAAUGAAUAUACCUGCUUAACAAUGGUUACGGCCGUGGUGCCACUGCAGUAACUAUCAAGGGAAUCUUCCAUGCUAAGAUCUUCAUCCAAUUCUUGGAAAGUUCUAAUCAAACUUGCCUCCCAAUGCUUGUGACUGCUGUCCUUGUCGCCCUCCUUCUUAGCGCUGGGCCGAGGCUGAUGCAUUGUCGAA
RNAcentral lists this long non-coding RNA (412 nucleotides) under Gossypium barbadense (sea-island cotton). RNAcentral describes it as "long non-coding RNA (GBAR_LNC003397)". Lineage: Eukaryota; Viridiplantae; Streptophyta; Magnoliopsida; Malvales; Malvaceae. The record is from RNAcentral.